GUCUCCGCCAUAGGCCUGCGCCGCCUCGGGGCCGGGGUCAGGCUGCCACAGCUUACCAAUGGAAGAUUAGGCCAGAUGGCUCCUGAGAGUGCUUUGGGAGAUUCUCUGUUCCUUCUGGGAAUGGCAGGGAUAGGAGGGGGUCCCAGAAGUUUGAACACUUUGGCAUCCAAGAAAUCACACUCCAAAUACUGCUCUUCUGGCCUCCCCUGGGCUGCCUUCUCCAACCAUGUUCCUGGAACCGAAGGGCAGAAAUUGCCCUCUUGGGCUUAUAAACAAGGAGCUCCUGCCUGCCUGGAUGAAGAGGAGGUCAAGACUUUGUCCCCCACUCCCCAAGAUACCCUCUCUGUUCCGGAUCGAUGAGACGGGAUUUCACCAUGUUAGCCAGGAUGGUCUUGAUCUCCUGACCUCAUGAUCUGCCCACCUCGGCCUCCCAAAGUGCUGGGCUUACAGGCGUGAGCCACCGUGCCCGGCCAAAAAUAACUUUUAAAAACAUGAGUAUAGCAUACACACACACAAAAGUCCACAAAUCCUAAGUGU
RNAcentral lists this non-coding RNA (537 nucleotides) under Pan troglodytes (chimpanzee). The record is from RNAcentral. Lineage: Eukaryota; Metazoa; Chordata; Mammalia; Primates; Hominidae.